GACGAACGCUGGCGGCGUGCUUAACACAUGCAAGUCGAGCGGUAAGGCCCUUUCGGGGGUACACGAGCGGCGAACGGGUGGGUAACACGUGGGUGACCUGCCUUUAGCUCUGGGAUAAGCCUGGGAAACUGGGUCUAAUACCGGAUAUGACCCUAUGGCGCAUGUUGUGGGGUGGAAAGCCUUGUGCGGCUAGGGAUGGGCCCGCGGCCUAUCAGCUUGUUGGUGGGGUGAUGGCCUACCAAGGCGACGACGGGUAGCCGGCCUGAGAGGGCGACCGGCCACACUGGGACUGAGACACGGCCCAGACUCCUACGGGAGGCAGCAGUGGGGAAUCUUGCGCAAUGGGCGAAAGCCUGACGCAGCGACGCCGCGUGAGGGAUGACGGCC
Molecule: ribosomal RNA, 387 nt
Filed under: uncultured bacterium
Lineage: Bacteria
Description: bacterial SSU rRNA
Rfam family: Bacterial small subunit ribosomal RNA
Source: RNAcentral